UACGUAGGGCGCAAGCGUUAUCCGGAAUUAUUGGGCGUAAAGAGCUCGUAGGCGGUUUGUCGCGUCUGCCGUGAAAGUCCGGGGCUCAACUCCGGAUCUGCGGUGGGUACGGGCAGACUAGAGUGAUGUAGGGGAGACUGGAAUUCCUGGUGUAGCGGUGAAAUGCGCAGAUAUCAGGAGGAACACCGAUGGCGAAGGCAGGUCUCUGGGCAUUAACUGACGCUGAGGAGCGAAAGCAUGGGGAGCAAACGGG
This 253-nucleotide ribosomal RNA is filed under the name uncultured bacterium. RNAcentral's name for it is "partial 16S ribosomal RNA". It matches the Rfam family "Bacterial small subunit ribosomal RNA", at positions 524 to 776 of the family's 1533-position model. The record is from RNAcentral.